Molecule: ribosomal RNA, 205 nt
Filed under: uncultured bacterium
Lineage: Bacteria
Description: partial 16S ribosomal RNA
Rfam family: Bacterial small subunit ribosomal RNA
Source: RNAcentral
UGCGUAGGUGGUCCUUCAAGUCGAUGGUUAAAGGCUACGGCUCAACCGUAGUAAGCCGCCGAAACUGGAGGACUUGAGUGCAGGAGAGGAAAGUGGAAUUCCCAGUGUAGCGGUGAAAUGCGUAGAUAUUGGGAGAACACCAGUAGCGAAGGCGGCUUUCUGGACUGCAACUGACACUGAGGCACGAAAGCGUGGGUAGCAAACA